RNAcentral lists this ribosomal RNA (392 nucleotides) under uncultured bacterium. RNAcentral's name for it is "bacterial SSU rRNA". It matches the Rfam family "Bacterial small subunit ribosomal RNA", at positions 28 to 417 of the family's 1533-position model. The record is from RNAcentral.
GACGAACGCUGGCGGCGUGCUUAACACAUGCAAGUCGAGCGGUAAGGCCCUUUCGGGGUACGACGAGCGGCGAACGGGUGAGUAACACGUGGGUGACCUCGCCCUCCAGCUCUGGGAGUAAGCCUGGGAAACCGGGGUACUAAUACCGGAUAUGACUCCAUGACGCAUGUUGUGGGGUGGAAAGCCUUGUGCGGCUGAGGAUGGGCCCGCGGCCUAUCAGCUUGUUGGUGGGGUGAGGCCUACCAAGGCGACGACGGGUAGCCGGCCUGAGAGGGCGACCGGCCACACUGGGACUGAGACACGGCCCAGACUCCUACGGGAGGCAGCAGUGGGGAAUCUUGCGCAAUGGGCGAAAGCCUGACGCAGCGACGCCGCGUGAGGGAUGACGGCCU